Long non-coding RNA from Arabidopsis thaliana (thale cress), 308 nucleotides. RefSeq annotates it as other RNA. The record is from RefSeq. The transcript has a single exon. NCBI's taxonomy places the organism in Eukaryota, Viridiplantae, Streptophyta, Magnoliopsida, Brassicales, Brassicaceae.
GUCCAAAAAUCCUACACGCCUCAUGCAUUAUCCAUAGCUUCCAACCUUCGAAUUUUCAGGGUUUGACUAGGAUGCUCAACAUCAGAUGCACCAACUAGCUGAGAAUAUCAGAACUAGACAUCAUAAACCAAUAUGCCUAAGUCCCAUCAGAUGUUUUCUUUUCUUCUAUCCACUGAAUUUCCUGCAAAAUUGAGACAAUUAAGUAAUGAAUACCAGAAAAAGUACCAAUCUGCAUUAUCACUGCUCACAAUGAUGGAGAGAACAAAUAAACAAUAUAAACUACCACGGUAAAUGCCUUUUCUUCCACU